CCAACGGCCCUCCGCGGGGGCAGCGCCUCGCGCCGCCCUCGCCCCGAGCGCCUUUGUCUGCUGCCCUCGCCCAAAGGCCGGGGCGCCGGCCUGGCCGCGGCUCUCGGGCCCUUCCUCAGGGACAGCGGCGAGCUGCAGCCCGCGGGUUAACCACGGCCGCCACAGAGCCCCCAGGGAGCGGCGAGACGGGAACGGCGACAGCUUCCGAACCGCUUCUCGCACAGAUCUGUUAGCUUCACACCUAGCGCUCACCCCCCUCUCCCCAGCCCACGAAAAACAAGCUCGGGUGCUGGUUCACGUGGGCUAACGUGGUUCUGUGAUCAUCUUAUAGGUGAGAAACAAUACUGCACCAAACACCCGGCACAGCACGCUCUGUGAGCGUGGGUAGCAGCUUGGAUGGCUGGCUCCGUCCCCCUCGGCUCUGCUACUGCCAUCGCCUUUUCCUUGGUGCCAACGCUUGCCCCAAGACUGCCCUGCGCUGCCUACGGAUCCGUCUCCUGCAGGCAGCGUAAACUGCCGCUGAGCCCGCUCAGGCGUCCUUCACCUGCGUGCUGGCGAUGGUGGCUUUUCGCUUGAAGCUUGUCUAUAGUGCCCAUCUUCCGUAGGGACAGGGACGCAGAAGGAAAGCUCUCUGCGCUCGACGUGGGGCUGACGGUGCUUUCUGGCCGCGUUAGAUUGUGCCCUUACGGCUGCCAAACCCAGGUGGAUGCAGAGUGCAGCCCUGCUGAAAGUAGGUCAACGGGGAGUGGGAAUAGGGUUGUGCAAGUAAUUGAUUUUUCACAGCCAAAUAAGAGAGAGGGAAGUAAUUCAGAAGACAGCCAAAAUAAAUGUUAUUCUUUCCUUACAUUCUUGUUUCAGUGAGGCGGGGGGGGGAAACCCAAACCUUACUCUUGUAUCAAACAAAACAUGUUCGACGUGAAAUGGUGCUUGUAAGCUAGAAAGGAAAGCAAAUGGUUUGCUGCUUAAACAUUUUCUGUUAUCCUGGAACCCACUGGUAAAGGCACUCAUCCAAGAAGCGGGAGGCCCACGCUCCGUUUCCUUCUCUGCCUGAUGUGAUUUGAAGCUGUAUCGCUCAGGUAGCUGUUCUAAUCAUCAGACUUUUGGGCAGUUCAUCGCUUCAAUAAGCUAUUUGUAUUUUUAAUUGCAUUUAAGGUAAAAAUACACAGUAGCCUUCUAUUUCACUUGCAGCUGUUUCAUAACACCUUAGCCCCAAAGCUUGAGACAUAAGGCUAAAGGAUAAUCCAUAGCUGGGAGCUUUUGAACUGUUGGAGCUGCUCUGGUUUGCAUACAUGAUUCAGCAUUCACUUGCAGAAUAUCUGCCAGGGGUCCAGUUUGCAGAGCGUCCUGAACAUCAGUUUGAAGAGUUUCUCUCUCUUUUUCUCAGUGAAUUAGUCCACACACAGUAAAAUAACUCCAGAAGCAAAAACUGAACCCACCUUGUAACCUGGUAGUUGUGUUAUUCUGCCAGGAGACUGGCACCCUCGGUCUGGAUAUGCUCACUGUUCAUCUACAGUUCAGGGAUAUGAGUUUGGUGAAUGCUGAAGCCAACGUACAGCGUAGGCAGCACUAAGUCUUUGGCAGUUUUAUGAACGUAGGUUCUAAUUAAUCAUUUGUUUUUUUUUUCAGAAGAAACAACUUGACUCAAAUUCUUGUUUCAGAAUGAACACACAUGUAUUUUUUGGUAAAGAUUUUAUUUGCCAAACAUUUUCUCAUCGCUAAAAGGAAGUUCAUAGACCUGUAUAAACUUUGACAAGCGGAGUUGGUGUUUUUAUUAACGAUGUGCAUGUAAACAAAUAAAUGUUAUUUCUGACCCUUGCACUAACGGAGUUGCAGCAGAGACAAAAGUCCCAAUGACACAGCUCCCACCCGAGGUUAAUGAACUGUUUGCAAGACCAGAGUAGACAGAUGACUCCAGUGCCAAACAGAUGUGCCAGACAGAGGUACCUCAUUCGUGCCGCAAA
Molecule: long non-coding RNA, 1961 nt
Organism: Dromaius novaehollandiae (emu)
Lineage: Eukaryota; Metazoa; Chordata; Aves; Casuariiformes; Dromaiidae
Exons: 3
Source: RefSeq, a predicted model, not a curated record